This 356-nucleotide ribosomal RNA is filed under the name uncultured bacterium. RNAcentral's name for it is "bacterial SSU rRNA". It matches the Rfam family "Bacterial small subunit ribosomal RNA", at positions 917 to 1271 of the family's 1533-position model. The record is from RNAcentral.
GGCCCCGCACAAGCGGUGGAUGAUGUGGUUUAAUUCGAUGCAACGCGAAAAACCUUACCUACCCUUGACAUGUACGGAACUUGCCAGAGAUGGCUUGGUGCUCGAAAGAGAGCCGUAACACAGGUGCUGCAUGGCUGUCGUCAGCUCGUGUCGUGAGAUGUUGGGUUAAGUCCCGCAACGAGCGCAACCCUUGUCAUUAGUUGCUACAUUUAGUUGAGCACUCUAAUGAGACUGCCGGUGACAAACCGGAGGAAGGUGGGGAUGACGUCAAGUCCUCAUGGCCCUUAUGGGUAGGGCUUCACACGUCAUGACAAUGGUCGGUACAGAGGGUUGCUAAGGCCGCGAGGUGGAGCCAA